UGGGGAAUAUUGCGCAAUGGGGGGAACCCUGACGCAGCAACGCCGCGUGAAGGAAGAAGUAUUUCGGUAUGUAAACUUCUAUCGACAGGGAAGAAAGAAAUGACGGUACCUGAAUAAGAAGCCCCGGCUAAUUACGUGCCAGCAGCCGCGGUAAUACGUAAGGGGCAAGCGUUAUCCGGAUUUACUGGGUGUAAAGGGUGAGUAGGCGGCAGAGCAAGUCAUAUGUGAAAGACCGGGGCUUAACCCCGGGGGUGCAUAAGAAACUGUUUUGCUUGAGUGCGGGAGAGGCAGGCGGAAUUUCCAGUGUAGCGGUGAAAUGCGUAGAUAUUGGGAAGAACACCGGUGGCGAAGGCGGCCUGCUGGACCGUAACUGACGCUGAGUCACGAAAGCGUGGGGAGCGAACAGG
Molecule: ribosomal RNA, 407 nt
Filed under: uncultured bacterium
Lineage: Bacteria
Description: bacterial SSU rRNA
Rfam family: Bacterial small subunit ribosomal RNA
Source: RNAcentral